GGUUGCUCGAUACAGCUUUGGACGGACGUUGCAAUCGGAUGGAGUGCGUGGUUCGUAAAGAAUCCGGGUCAUCUAGUGGACAAGCCGGGGGUGAUACACGUUUAAAGGGUGCGCUUUGAAGGUACGACUCGUGGUCAUGGAUGUUGAUCAAGCAAUGGGGUGCAAGAACUGAACACACAUUUUGAAUGCUUCCGCGAUUAUCUAUUCAAGCUAGAUGUUGAUGUUGUUUUUGAAACAUUGUUAAAUACUAUGUUUUAAACCAGUUAGUACGCUUUGUCACUCUUUAACUUAACUUUGUAAAAACCAAGAAAACAUGUUUUGUUAUAUAAAAUGUAUGUAUUUUCC
Long non-coding RNA from Helianthus annuus (common sunflower), 345 nucleotides. RefSeq lists it as uncharacterized. The transcript has 3 exons. The record is from RefSeq and is a predicted model, not a curated record. NCBI's taxonomy places the organism in Eukaryota, Viridiplantae, Streptophyta, Magnoliopsida, Asterales, Asteraceae.